RNAcentral lists this ribosomal RNA (210 nucleotides) under uncultured Lactobacillus sp. RNAcentral describes it as "partial 16S ribosomal RNA". It matches the Rfam family "Bacterial small subunit ribosomal RNA", at positions 152 to 354 of the family's 1533-position model. The record is from RNAcentral. Lineage: Bacteria; Bacillati; Bacillota; Bacilli; Lactobacillales; Lactobacillaceae.
GGAAACAGAUGCUAAUACCGGAUAACAACAGAUGAUGCCUAUCAACUGUUUAAAAGAUGGUUCUGCUAUCACUCUUGGAUGGACCUGCGGUGCAUUAGCUAGUUGGUAGGGUAACGGCCUACCAAGGCGAUGAUGCAUAGCCGAGUUGAGAGACUGAUCGGCCACAUUGGGACUGAGACACGGCCCAAACUCCUACGGGAGGCAGCAGGA